Molecule: ribosomal RNA, 450 nt
Filed under: uncultured bacterium
Lineage: Bacteria
Description: partial 16S ribosomal RNA
Rfam family: Bacterial small subunit ribosomal RNA
Source: RNAcentral
GUGGGGAAUUUUGGACAAUGGGCGCAAGCCUGAUCCAGCAAUGCCGCGUGCAGGAAGAAGGCCUUCGGGUUGUAAACUGCUUUUGUACGGAACGAAACGGUCCUGGUUAAUACCUGGGGCUAAUGACGGUACCGUAAGAAUAAGCACCGGCUAACUACGUGCCAGCAGCCGCGGUAAUACGUAGGGUGCAAGCGUUAAUCGGAAUUACUGGGCGUAAAGCGUGCGCAGGCGGUUUUGUAAGACAGGCGUGAAAUCCCCGGGCUCAACCUGGGAAUUGCGCUUGUGACUGAAAGGCUGGAGUGCGGCAGAGGGGGAUGGAAUUCCGCGUGUAGCAGUGAAAUGCGUAGAUAUGCGGAGGAACACCGGUGGCGAAGGCAAUCCCCUGGGCCUGCACUGACGCUCAUGCACGAAAGCGUGGGGAGCAAACAGGAUUAGAAACCCUAGUAGUCC